GAGGGUAUAGUUCUGUGGUACAGCGUGUGCUUAGCAUGCACGAGGUCCUGGGUUCAAUCCCCAGUACCUCCA
This 72-nucleotide transfer RNA is filed under the name Camelus bactrianus (Bactrian camel). It matches the Rfam family "tRNA". From Rfam's summary of the family: Transfer RNA (tRNA) molecules are approximately 80 nucleotides in length. RNAcentral also lists the same sequence under 3 other names. The record is from Rfam by way of RNAcentral. Lineage: Eukaryota; Metazoa; Chordata; Mammalia; Artiodactyla; Camelidae.